RNAcentral lists this unclassified non-coding RNA (150 nucleotides) under uncultured Fusidium. RNAcentral's name for it is "sequence contains ITS1". Lineage: Eukaryota; Fungi; Ascomycota; Sordariomycetes; Hypocreales; Nectriaceae. The record is from RNAcentral.
UAGAGUUUAAAAACUCCCAAAACCCAUGUGAACAUACCUCUGUUGCCUCGGUGGCCUAUAUGGUAGUUACCCUGUAGUUACCCUGUAGUCCGCCGACGGUCUAUAAAACUCUGUUUUUUUAAUAUCUCUGAGUCAACUAUAAAUAAGUUA